UACGUAGGUGACCAGCGUUGUCCGGAGUUACUGGGCGUAAAGAGCGCGCAGGCGGUCGUUCAAGUCGAGUGUGAAAGCCCCCGGCUCAACUGGGGAGGGUCACUCGAUACUGAUCGACUUGAAGGCAGGAGAGGGAAGCGGAAUUCCCGGUGUAGUGGUGAAAUGCGUAGAUAUCGGGAGGAACACCAGUGGCGAAGGCGGCUUCCUGGCCUGUUCUUGACGCUGAGGCGCGAAAGCUAGGGGAGCAAACGGG
RNAcentral lists this ribosomal RNA (253 nucleotides) under uncultured bacterium. RNAcentral describes it as "partial 16S ribosomal RNA". It matches the Rfam family "Bacterial small subunit ribosomal RNA", at positions 524 to 776 of the family's 1533-position model. The record is from RNAcentral.